Molecule: ribosomal RNA, 433 nt
Filed under: uncultured bacterium
Lineage: Bacteria
Description: partial 16S ribosomal RNA
Rfam family: Bacterial small subunit ribosomal RNA
Source: RNAcentral
AACGAACGCUGGCGGCAUGCCUAACACAUGCCAGUCGAACGAGACCUUCGGGUCUAGUGGCGCACGGGUGCGUAACGCGUGGGAACCUGCCCUUAGGUUCGGAAUAACUCCCCGAAAGGGGUGCUAAUACCGGAUAAUGUCUUCGGACCAAAGAUUUAUCGCCUUUGGAUGGGCCCGCGUUGGAUUAGCUAGUUGGUAGGGUAAAAGCCUACCAAGGCGACGAUCCAUAGCUGGUCUGAGAGGAUGAUCAGCCACACUGGGACUGAGACACGGCCCAGACUCCUACGGGAGGCAGCAGUGGGGAAUAUUGGACAAUGAGCGAAAGCCUGAUCCAGCAAUGCCGCGUGAGUGAUGAAGGCCUUAGGGUUGUAAAGCUCUUUUACCCGGGAUGAUAAUGACAGUACCGGGAGAAUAAGCUCCGGCUAACUCCGUG